This 296-nucleotide ribosomal RNA is filed under the name uncultured bacterium. RNAcentral's name for it is "partial 16S ribosomal RNA". It matches the Rfam family "Bacterial small subunit ribosomal RNA", at positions 775 to 1067 of the family's 1533-position model. The record is from RNAcentral.
GGAUUAGAUACCCUGGUAGUCCACACUGUAAACGAUGAAUACUAGGUGUGCGGGGACUGACCCCCUGCGUGCCGCAGUAAACACAAUAAGUAUUCCACCUGGGGAGUACGAUCGCAAGGUUGAAACUCAAAGGAAUUGACGGGGGCCCGCACAAGCGGUGGAUUAUGUGGUUUAAUUCGAAGCAACGCGAAGAACCUUACCAGGGUUUGACAUCCUGCUAACGAAGUAGAGAUACAUUAGGUGCCCUUCGGGGAAAGCAGAGACAGGUGGUGCAUGGUUGUCGUCAGCUCGUGCCG